Molecule: non-coding RNA, 65 nt
Organism: Dipodomys ordii (Ord's kangaroo rat)
Lineage: Eukaryota; Metazoa; Chordata; Mammalia; Rodentia; Heteromyidae
Source: Rfam
GGUGGUUCAGUGGUAGAGUGCUUGCCUUGCAUGCAAGAGGCCCUGGGUUCGAUUCCUCAGCACCA